GGAGGAAAAGAAACCAACAGGGAUUGCCCUAGUAACGGCGAGUGAAGCGGCAACAGCUCAAAUUUGAAAUCUGGCUUCGGCCCGAGUUGUAAUUUGUAGAGGAUGCUUUUGGUGAGGUGCCUUCUGAGUUCCCUGGAACGGGACGCCAGAGAGGGUGAGAGCCCCGUAUAGUCGGCCACCGAUCCUCUGUAAAGCUCCUUCGACGAGUCGAGUAGUUUGGGAAUGCUGCUCAAAAUGGGAGGUAUAUCUCUUCUAAAGCUAAAUAUAGGCCAGAGACCGAUAGCGCACAAGUAGAGUGAUCGAAAGAUGAAAAGCACUUUGAAAAGAGGGUUAAAUAGCACGUGAAAUUGUUGAAAGGGAAGCGCUUGUGACCAGACUUGCGCCGGGCUGAUCAUCCAGUGUUCUCACUGGUGCACUCGACCCGGCUCAGGCCAGCGUCGGUUCUCGCAGGGGGAUAAAAGCUUCGGGAACGUGGCACCUUCGGGUGUGUUAUAGCCCGCUGCUUAAUACCCCUGUGGGGACCGAGGUUCGCGCUCUGCAAGGACGCUGGCAUAAUGGUCAUCAGCGAC
RNAcentral lists this ribosomal RNA (569 nucleotides) under Coniochaeta prunicola. RNAcentral's name for it is "eukaryotic LSU rRNA". It matches the Rfam family "Eukaryotic large subunit ribosomal RNA", at positions 52 to 648 of the family's 3401-position model. The record is from RNAcentral. Lineage: Eukaryota; Fungi; Ascomycota; Sordariomycetes; Coniochaetales; Coniochaetaceae.